RNAcentral lists this ribosomal RNA (325 nucleotides) under uncultured eukaryote. RNAcentral's name for it is "partial 18S ribosomal RNA". It matches the Rfam family "Eukaryotic small subunit ribosomal RNA", at positions 1470 to 1796 of the family's 1831-position model. The record is from RNAcentral.
CCCUUAGAUGUUCUGGGCCGCACGCGCGCUACACUGAUGCAUUCAACGAGCCUAUCCUUGACCGACAGGUCCGGGUAAUCUUUGAAUCUGCAUCGUGACGGGGAUAAAUUAUUGCAAUUAUUAAUCUUCAACGAGGAAUGCCUAGUAGGCGCAAGUCAUCAGCUUGCGUCGAUUACGUCCCUGCCCUUUGUACACACCGCCCGUCGCUCCUACCGAUUGGGUGUGCUGGUGAAAUGUUCGGAUCGGCCGUUUGUCGCGGUUUCCGCGGCUCGUGGCUGAGAAGUUCAUUAAACCCUCCCACCUAGAGGAAGGAGAAGUCGUAACA